Perca fluviatilis (European perch) is the source of this 281-nucleotide long non-coding RNA. RefSeq lists it as uncharacterized. Lineage: Eukaryota; Metazoa; Chordata; Actinopteri; Perciformes; Percidae. The transcript has 3 exons. The record is from RefSeq and is a predicted model, not a curated record.
CUGCUGUUAACCAGUUGGCAUUAUCUUGGGACCUUCCUGUGUUGACACAAGCCAACCAUGUGUGGCUUUUACACAGUCUUCUACAGCAUGCGGUGUUAGGGCGAACCUCCCAACAAGUGAAACAGCUGAGGCAGGGACUGCAGGACACAAUGUUAUGGCCACUGUUGGAGGCCAGGCCAGAUGUGGUUCCAGUGGUGUUCCCUCGUCAGUCUAUGGCUAAAUGCAGUGCUCAGAUGGUUCUAGACAACAUCAUCUGGCCUGGAGAAGAGGAAAAGGAGGAC